Molecule: ribosomal RNA, 706 nt
Filed under: Salmonella enterica subsp. enterica serovar Hvittingfoss
Lineage: Bacteria; Pseudomonadati; Pseudomonadota; Gammaproteobacteria; Enterobacterales; Enterobacteriaceae
Description: partial 23S ribosomal RNA
Rfam family: Bacterial large subunit ribosomal RNA
Source: RNAcentral
UGUUUCGGCUAGGGGGCCAUCCCGGCUUACCAACCCGAUGCAAACUGCGAAUACCGGAGAAUGUUAUCACGGGAGACACACGGCGGGUGCUAACGUCCGUCGUGAAGAGGGAAACAACCCAGACCGCCAGCUAAGGUCCCAAAGUCAUGGUUAAGUGGGAAACGAUGUGGGAAGGCCCAGACAGCCAGGAUGUUGGCUUAGAAGCAGCCAUCAUUUAAAGAAAGCGUAAUAGCUCACUGGUCGAGUCGGCCUGCGCGGAAGAUGUAACGGGGCUAAACCAUGCACCGAAGCUGCGGCAGCGACACUGUGUGUUGUUGGGUAGGGGAGCGUUCUGUAAGCCUGUGAAGGUGGCCUGUGAGGGUUGCUGGAGGUAUCAGAAGUGCGAAUGCUGACAUAAGUAACGAUAAAGCGGGUGAAAAGCCCGCUCGCCGGAAGACCAAGGGUUCCUGUCCAACGUUAAUCGGGGCAGGGUGAGUCGACCCCUAAGGCGAGGCCGAAAGGCGUAGUCGAUGGGAAACGGGUUAAUAUUCCCGUACUUGGUGUUACUGCGAAGGGGGGACGGAGAAGGCUAUGUUGGCCGGGCGACGGUUGUCCCGGUUUAAGCGUGUAGGUGUGUGUUCCAGGUAAAUCCGGUUCACUUUAACACUGAGGCGUGACGACGAGGCACUACGGUGCUGAAGCAACAAAUGCCCUGCUUCCAGGAAAA